Molecule: ribosomal RNA, 47 nt
Filed under: uncultured soil eukaryote
Lineage: Eukaryota
Description: partial 5.8S ribosomal RNA
Source: RNAcentral
UCAGGCAUAAUCGAAUCGUCGAACGCAAUUGNCGCCCUCUGGUAUUC